AUGUUUCCUUCCUUACUUAGCAUAUAUUGUUUACAUGAAGUUGAUAUUAGCAAUUGUGGUUUAAGUCAACUAUUCCCUGAGGCAAUUGGAUGCUUACACUGGUUAGAAAUGUUAAAUCUUGGAGGGAACAAUUUUGUGACACUGCCUAGCCUUGGGGAGCUUUUCAAGCUUGUAUAUUUGAACUUGGAGAAUUGCAAGAAAUUGGAAUAUUUUCCCGAGCUUCCUUUCCCUACUACAAUCGAGCAGGAUCUUCGAAAGAACAAAUAUUGGAAGAGAACAGGAUUGUUCAUUUUCAACUGUCCUAAAAUAAGUAGUAAGGAAAGAUGCAGUAGAAUGACAUUUCCAUGGAUAACACAAUUCAUUAAAGUGAACAAAUAA
This is a non-coding RNA of Vicia faba (fava bean), 378 nucleotides long. The record is from the annotation of a GenBank genome assembly. NCBI's taxonomy places the organism in Eukaryota, Viridiplantae, Streptophyta, Magnoliopsida, Fabales, Fabaceae.